UGCGUAGGGACCAAGCGUUGUUCGGAUUUACUGGGCGUAAAGGGCGCGUAGGCGGCGCGGUAAGUCACUUGUGAAAUCUCUGAGCUUAACUCAGAACGGCCAAGUGAUACUGCAGUGCUAGAGUGUGGAAGGGGCAAUCGGAAUUCUUGGUGUAGCGGUGAAAUGCGUAGAUAUCAAGAGGAACACCUGAGGUGAAGACGGGUUGCUGGGCCAACACUGACGCUGAUGCGCGAAAGCCAGGGGAGCAAACGGG
This 253-nucleotide ribosomal RNA is filed under the name uncultured bacterium. RNAcentral's name for it is "partial 16S ribosomal RNA". It matches the Rfam family "Bacterial small subunit ribosomal RNA", at positions 524 to 776 of the family's 1533-position model. The record is from RNAcentral.